RNAcentral lists this ribosomal RNA (495 nucleotides) under uncultured bacterium. Its description in RNAcentral is "partial 16S ribosomal RNA". It matches the Rfam family "Bacterial small subunit ribosomal RNA", at positions 28 to 507 of the family's 1533-position model. The record is from RNAcentral.
GACGAACGCUGGCGGCGUGCCUAAUACAUGCAAGUAGAACGCUGAAGGAGGAGCUUGCUUCUCCGGAUGAGUUGCGAACGGGUGAGUAACGCGUAGGUAACCUGCCUGGUAGCGGGGGAUAACUAUUGGAAACGAUAGCUAAUACCGCAUAACAGUAGAUGUUGCAUGACAUUUGCUUAAAAGGUGCAAUUGCAUCACUACCAGAUGGACCUGCGUUGUAUUAGCUAGUUGGUGAGGUAACGGCUCACCAAGGCGACGAUACAUAGCCGACCUGAGAGGGGGAUCGGCCACACUGGGACUGAGACACGGCCCAGACUCCUACGGGAGGCAGCAGUAGGGAAUCUUCGGCAAUGGACGGAAGUCUGACCGAGCAACGCCGCGUGAGUGAAGAAGGGUUUCGGAUCGUAAAGCUCUGUUGUAAGAGAAGAACGAGUGUGAGAGUGGAAAGUUCACACUGUGACGGUAUCUUACCAGAAAGGGACGGCUAACUACGUG